RNAcentral lists this ribosomal RNA (65 nucleotides) under uncultured bacterium. Its description in RNAcentral is "partial 16S ribosomal RNA". The record is from RNAcentral.
AACGCCCGAAGCCAGUGGCCUAACCGCAAGGGAGGAGCUGUCGAAGGUGGGUCGGCGAUUGGGUG